RNAcentral lists this unclassified non-coding RNA (420 nucleotides) under Lactuca longidentata. RNAcentral describes it as "partial external transcribed spacer". The record is from RNAcentral. Lineage: Eukaryota; Viridiplantae; Streptophyta; Magnoliopsida; Asterales; Asteraceae.
CGAUUUUGCCUUGAACGUAAGUGGGUUCCUGUGUUGCAUACCUAAUCGAUGGCAUUGUCUUGUUUGAACAAAGUUGCCUUUCGUUAAGCAUCGCUUGCGGUGCCAACGAACCUUGAAGCUGUCUUUGUGGUCCAUGUUCUCGCUGCGGAUGUGUCGAUGGCAUGGCCCUAUAAAGUGUUGCUUGGUCUCUUGGAUAUGGAACCUGGCGUGGGCACAUGGUCAGUCAUGAUCAUGUAUUUUGCCCUACAUGAGCGUUUUGCUUCUCUAGACGACUGUCUAUCUUGCAUUGACUUGUUGGUGCAGGGUCGGCUAAGUCGAAGAGGAAUGCUACCUGGUUGAUCCUGCCAGUAGUCAUAUGCCUUUGUCAAAGCUACCUGGUUGCUCCUGCCUGUAGUCCUCUCCUUGUCUAAGCUUUGCGGU